RNAcentral lists this ribosomal RNA (614 nucleotides) under uncultured bacterium. RNAcentral's name for it is "bacterial SSU rRNA". It matches the Rfam family "Bacterial small subunit ribosomal RNA", at positions 202 to 842 of the family's 1533-position model. The record is from RNAcentral.
GAAAGAUUCAUCGCUUUAAGAACGGCCCGCGGAAGAUUAGGUAGUUGGUGGGGUAAAGGCCUACCAAGCCUACGAUCUAUAGCUGGUCUGAGAGGACGAUCAGCCACAUUGGAACUGAGACACGGUCCAAACUCCUACGGGAGGCAGCAGUGAGGAAUAUUGGGCAAUGGAGGCAACUCUGACCCAGCCAUGCCGCGUGAGUGAAGAAGGUUUUCGGAUUGUAAAGCUCUUUCGGAUGUGACGAUGAUGACGGUAGCAUCUAAAGAAGCCCCGGCUAACUUCGUGCCAGCAGCCGCGGUAAUACGAAGGGGGCAAGCGUUGUUCGGAAUUACUGGGCGUAAAGGGAGUGUAGGCGGUUUAGUAAGAUAGUGGUGAAAUCCCAGGGCUUAACUUUGGAAUUGCCAUUAUAACUAUUAGACUAGAAUUACAGAGAGGAUAGUGGAAUACCCAGUGUAGAGGUGAAAUUCGUAGAUAUUGGGUAGAACACCAGUGGCGAAGGCGACUAUCUGGCUGUACAUUGACGCUGAGGCUCGAAAGCAUGGGGAUCAAACAGGAUUAGAUACCCUGGUAGUCCAUGCUGUAAACGAUGAGUGCUUGUUGUCGGUAUAAAAUCG